This 229-nucleotide non-coding RNA is filed under the name Geofilum rubicundum. Lineage: Bacteria; Pseudomonadati; Bacteroidota; Bacteroidia; Marinilabiliales; Marinilabiliaceae. The record is from RNAcentral. RNAcentral also lists the same sequence under 1 other name.
CUAUCUUCGCAUCGUUUUGGUGGAUUUUUCCUUUUAGGAAAAACCUUAAAAUGGGAAUCCGGUGCUUCAGUAAAGUGAAAAUUCCGGAGCUGUACCCGCAGCUGUAAGUCCUUUUUUCCGUGUAAACGGAAAUGUUUUGAGAAAACUCUUGCCACUGUCCCUCAGUUAAGGGAUGGGAAGGCCUCAAGACAGGACAAGCCAGAAGACCUGCCAAAAGGUAAAUUAUUAA